Molecule: transfer RNA, 76 nt
Filed under: Alphaproteobacteria bacterium
Lineage: Bacteria; Pseudomonadati; Pseudomonadota; Alphaproteobacteria
Description: tRNA-Gly
Rfam family: tRNA
About the family: Transfer RNA (tRNA) molecules are approximately 80 nucleotides in length.
Source: RNAcentral
GCGAGUGUAGCUCAAUGGCUAGAGCGCCACCUUGCCAAGGUGGAAGUUGUGGGUUCGAAUCCCGUCACUCGCACCA